This 240-nucleotide ribosomal RNA is filed under the name uncultured bacterium. Its description in RNAcentral is "partial 16S ribosomal RNA". It matches the Rfam family "Bacterial small subunit ribosomal RNA", at positions 524 to 763 of the family's 1533-position model. The record is from RNAcentral.
AACGUAGGGGGCAAGCGUUGUCCGGAAUCACUGGGCGUAAAGGGCGCGUAGGCGGCAAUAUAAGUCAGGUGUGAAAAGUGAGGGCUCAACCGUUAGAGUGCACCUGAUACUGUAUAGCUUGAGUAUGGGAGAGGGAAGCGGAAUUCCUAGUGUAGCGGUGAAAUGCGUAGAUAUUAGGAAGAACACCAGUGGCGAAGGCGGCUUUCUGGCCCAAAACUGACGCUGAGGCGCGAAAGCGUG